GAGGGUGUCAUAAGACUUGCUAACUCUUUAAUCUGGGAUUAAUCCCCAGCUCCCUC
Molecule: transfer RNA, 56 nt
Filed under: Imantodes gemmistratus
Lineage: Eukaryota; Metazoa; Chordata; Lepidosauria; Squamata; Dipsadidae
Description: tRNA-Ser
Source: RNAcentral